Molecule: non-coding RNA, 1967 nt
Organism: Chiloscyllium plagiosum (whitespotted bambooshark)
Lineage: Eukaryota; Metazoa; Chordata; Chondrichthyes; Orectolobiformes; Hemiscylliidae
Source: RefSeq, a predicted model, not a curated record
UUUUAUCAGAGUCAAAAUAUAGAUGCCUGGCAACAUCAUCUUUUAUCUCCUACUACUGGAGAGAGCAAUUCCUCUCACACAGUCCUGACAUAAAACGCCACUUGUAAAGAGACAGUGGAACAGGGAACAAACAGAUUAAUGAGCUAUCCAAAGAAAAAGGAAACCUCCAAAGAUGAAACCUAUUGGAAGGAAAUUAACGCAGCCAUGGCCUUAACUAAUCUGGCACAAGCAAAAGGCAAAAUUCAAGGAACAACCAGCUGUAUCAUUCAAAAGUCUUCACAUAUUUCCGAAAUAAAGACAUUGAAAAUUUCAUCGGGUAAACCGUUUUAAAGAAAAAACUUAAAUGACUUUAAGCAUUUCUGAAGCAAAACUAUUCCAUGUAUAUAUUUUGAAAAAAAAUUUACAACCAAAUGCUGACUCCUGGCUCUUGAAGCCAGUCUAGAACAAAUCCAUUUUUGAAAAUCUAAUCUUAUGUUUAUUAAUAUAUUUAGGAUCUUGCAGCAGUUUUUAAAUCUUUUGUAAUAACACAUAUAUUUUUGCUGUUGUUGGCCAGCUUUUUUUAAACCAAGAACUGACUGUAAAUUGUUAAAACGGUACAAUUUCUGUAAAAGCAUUAACUUAUUUUAUGUUACUCAAAUUAAUCUUUGACAUCUCAUGUUGGUGUUGUCAGCAUGAAUAUAAUGUAAUAUAAAUAAUAUAUCAAUAAGCUACAUGUUGCACACUGAAAGCAUAUUUGCCAUUGUGAAAUUGUACUUUCAUAUAACAUGAACAAUUCCAUGUUGUAAGACUCUUAUGUGACAAACAAAACCGAAAAAUGUCUACAGCAUGGAAUGUACAUUGUGGUCCUGGAAGAAAAACAUUGUGAUUGUUCUGGCAUGUCACUUUAUUUUGACUUCAGUUAUAGCUUGUUGACUUUAUUUUGGCUUAGAGAACACGUGUUGAAAAUAUAUGACAACUGGCAUAUCAUACAGGUCUUAACAGUGAUCUAAUUAGAAGCAGUGACAUUAUACACUCAGGAUUCAAACAUGCUGAAUGAUUAGCCAAUUUUAAGCUGGAAAGCUCCAAAGAUAAACUGAAGCUCAAAAUGUUGCUUUACAUGGUGACCAUAUUUCAAUAUUUCUAAAUCUGGAUGAAUAUGUCAGCAUGCAUUGGCCUCCAUAAGUGACUAGUGUUACUUCAUUUAAAACACAAAGGUACUUUUAAUAGAAUAAGAUAAAGGAAUAGAAAAAGCUGCUCAAAACAGAAUAAUAGGCAUAGGGACUGACUUUAGUAUACUGAGUAUAUGGUGUUUCUGAGGGAUGAAUUAAGAUGUUACAACUGUAAUAAAGUUCAUCAUGUGCCAAUUUUGCCUACUUGUAUCCAAAUUCCAUUUGAAAAUAUUAGAUAUUUACAAAUGGCCUCAAAAAAGCAGAAAUCAGCAACAACAAUGGGGUCCCAAAACAUAAUAAUAACCCACCAAAAAAAAUGACUCUUUCCUGCUGUGUUGAACAUUCUGAUGUUAAUUUUAUACUGUAUGGACCAUAGAAUUGUAAAAAUGAUAUAUGGCUUGUUAAGCUGGGCCAGAACCAUCAAAAUGAUCCAUUAUGCAUUUGGAGUCAGAUAAUUUAUACAUGGGUACAAAAGAGCAAGAUCGUUUGGGCAUAGUGACUUACAUGUAAAACACAUUUGUGUCCAAAUUUCUUCAAAAUCUGACAAUCUUCUUGCUUUGCAUCCAAUUUCACGUCUUUGGAGAUCAUUACCCAAGGAAUUCCACCUCACCACAUUUGUGCACAAUUGUGAUCUUCAAAAAUCUAUUAAUUUGCUUGCCAGUUAUAUAUUUAAUGAUCAAAUACAAUGGAAUUUUGUGCUGUUUGUGCUUAAAAACUGUCUUGAGUUAGGCGCACAUUUCUUCAACCUUGUGCCUAUAAAUGAAGCCGAUGAACAGGGAAGUUUAACCAGGAGAAAGUGAGGACUGCAGAUGCUGGAGA